CCUACGGGUGGCAGCAGUGAGGAAUAUUGGUCAAUGGGCGAGAGCCUGAACCAGCCAAGUCGCGUGAGGGAGUACUGCCCUAUGGGUUGUAAACCUCUUUUGUCGGGGAGCAAAAGCCGGACGUGUCCGGCUGUGAGGGUACCCGAAGAAAAAGCAUCGGCUAACUCCGUGCCAGCAGCCGCGGUAAUACGGAGGAUGCGAGCGUUAUCCGGAUUUAUUGGGUUAAAUGGGUGCGCAGGCGGAUUUUUAAGUCAGCGGUAAAAUCGUGGGGCUCAACCCCAUCCAGCCGUUGAAACUGGGGAUCUAGAGUGUGCGAGAGGUAUGCGGAAUGCGUGGUGUAGCGGUGAAAUGCAUAGAUAUCACGCAGAACCCCGAUUGCGAAGGCAGCAUACCGGUGCACAACUGACGCUCAGGCACGAAAGCGUGGGUAUCGAACAGGAUUAGAUACCCCUGUAGUC
RNAcentral lists this ribosomal RNA (458 nucleotides) under uncultured bacterium. RNAcentral's name for it is "partial 16S ribosomal RNA". It matches the Rfam family "Bacterial small subunit ribosomal RNA", at positions 338 to 795 of the family's 1533-position model. The record is from RNAcentral.